GGGGUAUACCUUCCACAGUCUCCAGUGAUUGAGAUACUCACUUCAUUGGGCAAAUCACACUUGCCUUAACAAAAACCUCGCAAACUUCUUGGAAUCAGCACUGUUCCUAUCACCUUCAACAUCAGGCAAAGUUGAGAGAACUAAUGGAAAAACUGGAUUCAAGCAGAACAAGAAUUAAUUACAUCAGACUAAAUGAACUAAUGAGGAUAAGCAUAAUUUUUGUGACUUUUUGUUUGAAAUAUUACUUUUUUUAAAUCUUUCGUUUUUCCAGAUUUAAGAAAACCUUUUUUUCCCCCUUCUUUUCUCUUAAGAUAUCUAUGACUUACAGCAAUUUGGUGAAUUAUACCUUUGUAAGCAGAAUUGAAACAAUUACUUUUUCUCCCUACCUUAUCCCUUCAGAAUUCAGAAAUUCUCAGUCAAUCACUCAACUUGGGCUCUUAAUGGCAGCAUUGACAGUGGAUUCUGUAUGCUUAGGGGCCAUGACGAACAAAACAACAUGGGAUUAAAUCAGGCACAAGAGGAAAUGAUGCAAUCAAGAGACACGGAAGACAUGAGAUGUGUGAGGCUGCUGAUGGUGUAACACGGCGUACUGUUUCACAGUAAACAUUUUUUU
RNAcentral lists this long non-coding RNA (613 nucleotides) under Equus caballus (horse). RNAcentral describes it as "lncRNA (ENSECAG00000051208.1)". Lineage: Eukaryota; Metazoa; Chordata; Mammalia; Perissodactyla; Equidae. The record is from RNAcentral.